RNAcentral lists this long non-coding RNA (663 nucleotides) under Macaca mulatta (Rhesus monkey). RNAcentral describes it as "lncRNA (ENSMMUG00000054043.1)". Lineage: Eukaryota; Metazoa; Chordata; Mammalia; Primates; Cercopithecidae. The record is from RNAcentral.
CAUGUAGUUAUUAGCACAAUCACAAAAGAGGUCACUGGUCUUUCCUUUAAUUUCUGUCACAGGCUGCAGGCCGUAUUAUGCUAAAUCAAGGAUACGGGGAGAUAAUUAACAUAGCAACUCUGGCAAGUUUAAUAGGUUCUUAUACACAGUGACAGCUAGCAGAAUCUGAAGUGCUGACAUUAUGACUUAGAGAUGUGAUAAAGAGAAACAUCUAUUGCAUUUUCUACAACAGCAGCAACUACAAAACGAGACAAUAUCUAUUCAGCACCUACUGUGUUCCAGGCACACUAUAUGAAUUAUUUUGUUUAAUUUCCAAGCAAUUUUGUGAGGUAAGUACCACUAGUAUCCACAAUUUACAGAUGGAAAUGGGACUAUAGUAGGGUAAAACAACUAAUUACAUUGACAAAAUAAUGAAUCCUUAGCAAAGGACUACAGGCUUAUCCCUCCCGGACACAAUGUAUACAUUAGAAUAGCAUGUGCUUGGAAACAAGAUGUCUUAUCUCAAGACUAGGUGGGUGUGGGUGAGUUCUGGGGAGGAAUCAGUGAGGGUAGAGGGGAGAGGGUUAGUUACUGUUUCUGGAUAAAGAGGUCAAGAGGUCAUAUUUGGAAGCGGCAUGGCUUCAGAUGCCUCUCACAUCAAGCCGUAGAGUGGGCACCUUUUCC